RNAcentral lists this transfer RNA (74 nucleotides) under Candidatus Mesenet longicola. It matches the Rfam family "tRNA". From Rfam's summary of the family: Transfer RNA (tRNA) molecules are approximately 80 nucleotides in length. Their secondary structure includes four short double-helical elements and three loops (D, anti-codon, and T loops). Lineage: Bacteria; Pseudomonadati; Pseudomonadota; Alphaproteobacteria; Rickettsiales; Anaplasmataceae. The record is from Rfam by way of RNAcentral. RNAcentral also lists the same sequence under 1 other name.
GUGUUCGUAGCUCAGCUGGAUAGAGCAACAGCCUUCUAAGCUGUGGGUCGUGGGUUCAAAUCCCUCCGAACACA